GAUGAACGCUGGCGGCGUGCCUAAUACAUGCAAGUAGAACGCUGAAGGAGGAGCUUGCUCUUCUGGAUGAGUUGCGAACGGGUGAGUAACGCGUAGGUAACCUGCCUGGUAGCGGGGGAUAACUAUUGGAAACGAUAGCUAAUACCGCAUGACAACAGUUAUUGCAUGAUAACUGUUUAAAAGGGGCAACUGCUCCACUACCAGAUGGACCUGCGUUGUAUUAGCUAGUUGGUGAGGUAACGGCUCACCAAGGCGACGAUACAUAGCCGACCUGAGAGGGUGAUCGGCCACACUGGGACUGGGACACGGCCCAGACUCCUACGGGAGGCAGCAGUAGGGAAUCUUCGGCAAUGGACGGAAGUCUGACCGAGCAACGCCGCGUGAGUGAAGAAGGUUUUCGGAUCGUAAAGCUCCGUUGUAAGAGAAGAACGAGUGUGAGAGUGGAAAGUUCACACUGUGACGGUAUCUUACCAGAAAGGGACGGCUAACUACGUG
RNAcentral lists this ribosomal RNA (495 nucleotides) under uncultured bacterium. RNAcentral describes it as "partial 16S ribosomal RNA". It matches the Rfam family "Bacterial small subunit ribosomal RNA", at positions 28 to 507 of the family's 1533-position model. The record is from RNAcentral.